Non-coding RNA from Momordica charantia (bitter melon), 1112 nucleotides. The record is from RefSeq and is a predicted model, not a curated record. NCBI's taxonomy places the organism in Eukaryota, Viridiplantae, Streptophyta, Magnoliopsida, Cucurbitales, Cucurbitaceae.
CAAAACCCUAAAUCGGCAAAAUUCUAUAAAACCCUAUAAUUCGGUUCACAAUCAGCAUAUGCCAAAGUGGAGCUUUAUCCACGACUCAUCUCCACGACUCUCAAGCAAAUCGAUUUUCUGCCUGUCUUUUAGAACAAGAUCAAGAUCCAAUGAUCUGAUGACACUACCCUCCUCCUUUGUCCGGGCUUGGGACCGGCUGCGUAGAAGAAAUGAUGCUUAAUGCAUGACACAGGCAGAGUUAUCAUGUCACUGUAUAUUCUAGAAUAACAUGAUCGUCAGGGAAAUUGGAGCUGAUGCUGUCUUGGUGAUGACCACACCAGGUUAAAAAAGUACCAGAGACUGUUCUAGAGGUCAAGCAAAAAAAUGGCUACGUUGAAAUCACUUGAAUGAUAGAAGAAAGACUAUGAAGGUGAAGGCACAUGCCAGCCAACAGAUCCAAGCGAAGUUCUGAUGGACAAGAAGACUAGCUAUGAUGCAGACACCAAUUGCAGCAAAAAGAGCACUGACCUUUUCAAACAAAAGCGCCAUUCUCGGGUAUGCAGUUUGAAGGAAAAGUCCAGCAAACGAAACUGCAAAGCUGAUCAACACGGCAGCUCCAAAAAGAAGUGUAGGGAGUUGCGGAGGUGAACUGGGUAAGCUGAUGAACAAGGCUAGAACUGCCUGAAAGGUAAGACCAAGAAUCGUCUUCCCAAGGCUCUGAGAGCUCUUGGCUGGUGGUGGCCUCUGCAUUCUGAUGCAAAUUGGUAGGCAAUCUGAUGGUGUGGAUGUUCCCCCUCCCCAGGUAAAGCUGCUGAUUCCAAGAUUUCUUUCGUUGAUUGCAGUGAUAAAGGAAGAGAGUGCAUUCAUAUCCACAGAGGUCUGUUGUGGAGUUGAUGCCAUUGGGGAAAAAAAUAAAUUCUCAAUAAUCUCAAGUUGUUUCCCUUGGACCGAAUUCAGUCUUGCAGCUUCUUUUUAUGUUGAAUGGAGUAUUCUAGAAUAUAGAGAGAGAAGUUUCUGUGAUUCUACUACAAGUUUUAGAUUAAAUUUCGUAGAAAUUGUAAAGGGGUUAUCUUUUGAUCACUUUUUUUGAGUCUCUUUCGUACAGUAACAUGACCCACUGUUCUUUCAUGGCA